RNAcentral lists this unclassified non-coding RNA (379 nucleotides) under uncultured Actinomycetes bacterium. RNAcentral describes it as "uncultured actinobacterium contains 16S-23S intergenic spacer region". Lineage: Bacteria; Bacillati; Actinomycetota; Actinomycetes. The record is from RNAcentral.
UCCGAGUUGACCCCGGCAGUCUCAUAUGAGUUCCCACCAUUACGUGCUGGCAACAUACGACGAGGGUUGCGCUCGUUGCGGGACUUAACCCAACAUCUCACGACACGAGCUGACGACAGCCAUGCACCACCUGUGAUGGUGUCCCGAAGGAAAACCGUGUUUCCACGGCGGUCACCAACAUGUCAAGCCCAGGUAAGGUUCUUCGCGUUGCAUCGAAUUAAUCCACAUGCUCCGCCGCUUGUGCGGGUCCCCGUCAAUUCCUUUGAGUUUUAGCCUUGCGGCCGUACUCCCCAGGCGGGGCACUUAAUGCGUUAGCUACGGCACGGGAUCCGUUGAUAAGACCCCACACCUAGUGCCCAACGUUUACGGCGUGGACUAC